This 301-nucleotide ribosomal RNA is filed under the name uncultured bacterium. RNAcentral's name for it is "partial 16S ribosomal RNA". It matches the Rfam family "Bacterial small subunit ribosomal RNA", at positions 509 to 807 of the family's 1533-position model. The record is from RNAcentral.
CAGUAGCCGCGGGAAUACGGAGGGUGCAAGCGUUGUCCGGAUUUACUGGGCGUAAAGGGAGCGUAGGCGGACAUUUAAGUCAGGGGUGAAAUCCCAGAGCUCAACUCUGGAACUGCCUUUGAUACUGGGUGUCUUGAGUGUGAUAGAGGUAUGUGGAACUCCGAGUGUAGAGGUGAAAUUCGUAGAUAUUCGGAAGAACACCAGUGGCGAAGGCGACAUACUGGAUCAUUACUGACGCUGAGGCUCGAAAGCGUGGGGAGCAAACAGGAUUAGAUACCCCCGUAGUCCCUGUCUCUUAUAC